UUAGCAUGGAAUAAUGGAAUAGGAAGGGGCUCCUAUUUUGUUGGUUUCUAGGAGAGCCGUAAUGAUUAAUAGGGACAGUUGGGGGCAUCCGUAUUCAGUUGUCAGAGGUGAAAUUCUUGGAUUUACUGAAGACGAACUACUGCGAAAGCAUUUGCCAAAGAUGUUUUCAUUAAUCAGUGAACGAAAGUUAGGGGAUCGAAGACGAUCAGAUACCGUCGUAGUCUUAACCAUAAACCAUGCCGACUAGGGAUCGGGCGAUGUUAUUCUAUUGACUCGCUCGGCACCUUUCGAGAAAUCAAAGUGUUUGGGUUCUGGGGGGAGUAUGGUCGCAAGGCUGAAACUUAAAGAAAUUGACGGAAGGGCACCACCAGGAGUGGAGCCUGCGGCUUAAUUUGACUCAACACGGGGAAACUCACCAGGUCCAGAUACGCGUAGGAUUGACAGAUUGAGAGCUCUUUCUUGAUUGUGUAGUUGGUGGUGCAUGGCCGUUCUUAGUUGGUGGAGUGAUUUGUCUGCUUAAUUGCGAUAACGAACGAGACCUUCAUCGUUAACUAGCCCGGCUCGCCUUGGCGGGUUGUCGGCUUCUUAGCGAGACUUUUGGCUUAAGCCAAAGGAAGUUGGAGGCAAUAACAGGUCUGUGAUGCCCUUAGAUGUUCUGGGCUGCACGCGCGCUACACUGACAGAGGCAACGAGUUUCAUUCCUUGGCCGGAAGGCCUGGGUAAUCUUGUUAAACUCUGUCGUGCUGGGGAUAGAGCAUUGCAAU
Molecule: ribosomal RNA, 764 nt
Filed under: uncultured fungus
Lineage: Eukaryota; Fungi
Description: SSU rRNA
Rfam family: Eukaryotic small subunit ribosomal RNA
Source: RNAcentral